AUGGCCAAGGAGAUCCAGGGUGAAGCAGGCUGCACUUUGAUGAACUGGACAAGCUGCAUGUGUGGGACCCUGAGGUUACCUAGCAGACCACAGAGCUCAAGGAAGAGUACAAGGACUCUGUGGACAAAAUUAGCCAGUUUCAGAAAAUAGUCGGUGGUUUACUUGAGCUUGUUGACCAAUUUGCAAAAGAAGCAAAAAAUGAGAAGAUGAAGGCCAUUGGUGCUCGGAACUUGUUCAAAUCUAUAGCAAAACUGAGAGAAGCCCAACAGCAGCCACUGCAAGCACUGACAGCAGAACAGAAAAUGCAGCUUGGAAGGUAUCGGGUUGAAGAGGAAGCUUUGUGUAAAAUAGAAGCAGAACAAAAUGAAUUUAUUGACCAAUUUAUUUUUCAGAAAUGAACUGAAAAUUUCAUUUUAUAGCUGGAGGGCCAAAAAACAAAACCAAACCCCAAAACCCUCUGUUCCGUCCCAGUGACUUGACUAGUGACCCACGUAGGUCCUGAGAGAUGGUGGGUAAGGGACACAGCAUCUCUAAAGGCAGAAAACUAAUCUGAGGGAGCUUGUUGUAGAAAUCUGUGCACAUCUGCUGGUAAACACCCAGUGGCCAUGGUGGUCCAGGCUCUCACCUCUCGGCAUUCUUAGCCUGAACUGAGCAGUCUGAAAACUCUAAUCCUUUUUUUUUUUUCUUUGUAAAUUCACAAAGCUUUGGAAAGAAAGAGCAAUAAAUUACUGUUU
Enhydra lutris kenyoni (northern sea otter) is the source of this 734-nucleotide RNA transcript. It is a transcript of the gene named intraflagellar transport protein 20 homolog pseudogene, with no coding region annotated. NCBI's taxonomy places the organism in Eukaryota, Metazoa, Chordata, Mammalia, Carnivora, Mustelidae. The transcript has a single exon. The record is from RefSeq and is a predicted model, not a curated record.